RNAcentral lists this ribosomal RNA (450 nucleotides) under uncultured bacterium. RNAcentral describes it as "partial 16S ribosomal RNA". It matches the Rfam family "Bacterial small subunit ribosomal RNA", at positions 338 to 795 of the family's 1533-position model. The record is from RNAcentral.
CCUACGGGUGGCAGCAGUAGGGAAUAUUGCGCAAUGGAGGAAACUCUGACGCAGCGACGCCGCGUGGGUGAUGAAGGUCUUCGGAUCGUAAAGCCCUGUCGGAUGGGAAGAAAAACACUGAGGGUAAUAUUCUUAGUGCUUGACGGUACCAUUAGAGGAAGCCCCGGCUAACUUCGUGCCAGCAGCCGCGGUAAUACGAAGGGGGCAAGCGUGGUUCGGAAUCAUGGGGCGUGCCGAGCAAGUCGAUGGCGAAAUCCCUGGGCUCAACCGAGGAAGUGCAUUCGAAACUAAUAGGCUAGAAGAUGGUAGAGGAUGGUGGAAUUCCAGGUGUAGAGGUGAAAUUCGUAGAUAUCUGGAGGAAUACCGGUGGCGAAGGCGGCCAUCUGGACCAUUCUUGACACUGAGACGCGAAAGCGUGGGUAGCAAACAGGAUUAGAUACCCUAGUAGUC